UGUGGGAGCUGGCUUGCCUGCGAUGCAAGCGACUCGGUACGUCAGUUGCACCACAGUGAUGCCAUCGCAGGCAAGCCAGCUCCCACA
RNAcentral lists this unclassified non-coding RNA (87 nucleotides) under Pseudomonas poae. The record is from RNAcentral. Lineage: Bacteria; Pseudomonadati; Pseudomonadota; Gammaproteobacteria; Pseudomonadales; Pseudomonadaceae.